Nerophis lumbriciformis (worm pipefish) is the source of this 790-nucleotide non-coding RNA. NCBI's taxonomy places the organism in Eukaryota, Metazoa, Chordata, Actinopteri, Syngnathiformes, Syngnathidae. The record is from RefSeq and is a predicted model, not a curated record.
CAAAAAAAAGAGGAAGCAGAUGAAAAAGGUCUCGAUAGGAGAAAAAUGUCCAUGUGGUUGCCACUGUGGGACACAAUAAAAGAAAAGGCAGACCUGCCAACAGGAAUACACUUGUACACCUCGCUGUUCUCUUGGUAAAUUCAUACAAAUUCUGGAAAGGAAAACACAAGUGUGGUUCUUAAUCAUGGAUUCCAGAUAGUCCUCAGAUUUGUUGGAUCUUCUUGGGUAAGACAUCAUAGACAAUACAACCUAAUGCAUACAUUACAUUUAGCUUUAUUAAUGCAUAAAGACCUUAAUAAAAGCUGGUAUCUCCCCUUGGCUCCAUUGAGAUAUACACACUUAAAACAUUUGUUUUAUACUGAUAGCUAUUUGGUGUUGUUGUGUCAACAAAUACAUUUUAAAUACCAGCUAACCUUUUCAGUACACCCUGCAAUCAUCAACGUCGACGACCAGUCGCUGCCCAGCCAAAUGACAGGAAGCGAGCAUGUUAACAAGCAGCUGCUGUUGACGGUCCCUGACACAAGGCUGAAGCUUAGAGGUGACACAGCUUUCGGCGCUGCUGCUCCCAAGCUCUGGAAUGACUUACCUUUGAGUGUUGGACAGGCCUCCUCUCUUCCUCUUUUUAAAUCGCUCUUAAAAACACGCUUUUAUUCCAUGGCCUUUAACACUCUGUGAUCUCCAUCCUGCUAUGGCGUCCCAUAAUGCACCUGCUGUGAACCUGUUUCUAUGUUUUAUUUGUUUUUUUAUCGUGCUCUGUUUGUGUUGUGCUGUGUUUGCUCGUUUCUCUUGU